RNAcentral lists this ribosomal RNA (497 nucleotides) under uncultured bacterium. RNAcentral's name for it is "partial 16S ribosomal RNA". It matches the Rfam family "Bacterial small subunit ribosomal RNA", at positions 28 to 507 of the family's 1533-position model. The record is from RNAcentral.
GAUGAACGCUGGCGGCGUGCCUAAUACAUGCAAGUCGAGCGAACAGACGAGGAGCUUGCUCCUCUGACGUUAGCGGCGGACGGGUGAGUAACACGUGGAUAACCUACCUAUAAGACUGGGAUAACUUCGGGAAACCGGAGCUAAUACCGGAUAAUAUAUUGAACCGCAUGGUUCAAUAGUGAAAGACGGUUUUGCUUUCACUUAUAGAUGGAUCCGCGCCGCAUUAGCUAGUUGGUAAGGUAACGGCUUACCAAGGCAACGAUGCGUAGCCGACCUGAGAGGGUGAUCGGACACACUGGAACUGAGACACGGUCCAGACGCCUACGGGAGGCCGCAGUAGGGAAUCUUCCGCAAUGGGCGAAAGCGUGACGGAGCAACGCCGCGUGAGUGAUGAAGGUCUUCGGAUCGUAAAACUCUGUUAUUAGGGAAGAACAAAUGUGUAAGUAACUAUGAACGUCUUGACGGUACCUAAUCAGAAAGCCACGGCUAACUACGUG